Long non-coding RNA from Solenopsis invicta (red fire ant), 2274 nucleotides. RefSeq lists it as uncharacterized. Lineage: Eukaryota; Metazoa; Arthropoda; Insecta; Hymenoptera; Formicidae. The transcript is spliced from 2 exons. The record is from RefSeq and is a predicted model, not a curated record.
AGUUUACUGAUUUUUAAUAAAUGUUUAAUUUUAAGCUGAAUUUUGUGAGUUGCAAAAAAAUUGUACUAUUUAUAGUUUGUUUCUUUUAUUCGUUUAUCUUCUGCUUCGAGGACCUAUACAUUUAUACAAAUGAACGUACAUGAAAAGUACUUUUCACAUGUUACAGAUUUUAUAAAUGUUAUGCCGGACAUUAAAUUUAAAAAACCUGAAACAUAUAAUUUUUAUUCAAUAACUAUAAAUGAAAAAAAUGCUUAAUUAUUGAUAAUACUCUAAGAACUUAACGUGAAAGUAUUAACUGCAUUAUUUUCCUCAGCAUUCUUUACACAGAUUGAUAAAAGUUUUACUUUUAAUUUCGGUUAUUUUCUGGCAUGUUUCGAAGAAACACGAAUUUGUUGGUUACAUGUAUUUAUCCAUAUUUAAGAUUUACAUAAACUUUUUUAGGUUUUUAAGAUGAUAGUAAAUCAGCCAAGUUAACAUCAAAUAAUUUAUUAUUUGAUUAUCACUUAUUUAUUGUUUCGCAAUCUUAUAUAUUAUACAUUUAAUUUAUUUUAAUUUUAUUGCGUAUGACUAGUUUACAUGGUGAUUACAUAAAAAAAAUAAAAGUACGAAUACGCAAAUGGUGAAGCACCAGCAUGAGACUGUUAUAAUGCCUACCAGAUAAAUCAUUCGAAUAAUAAAGGUGAAAUACAAGAUAUGAGAUAUAAAAACUAAUAGAAGGAAAUGGAGAAAUACAUCUUAAUGCAAACGCAUGCAACAUUAUGAAAAAUGGAGAAAUACUGAUUAAUACGUACGCAUACAGAUGACAGAACGAUCGUUAUGUUGCAUCCACGAGUUAUCUUGUCUUCAAAUUGUUGUGAAAUGUCCUACAGUUUAUGGAUCAAUGCUUUAAUUUCAUGAAGUUUUCAAAUUAAUUACACCUCUUGGUAUAUAUGCUUGAGACAUGAAACUGUAUUUUAAAGUAGCGGAUAUGCCACAAAGUUUAAUAUUUGCAUUUAUCUCAUCUGUAUCAUAGACUUCAAGUAAUAUAAAAUAACCUGCAAAAUAAAAUAUACAAAAACUUAUUGAGGGAAUUAAAGAGGAGAUGGAAGAUCAAAGAAAAAAAAAGCAGGAUAAGGAACUUUAUAAUAAAGGGAUGGAAGGAAGGGAAGGGAGAGAUUAGGAGAAGAGAGAGAAAGGAGAAUUAGAGAAGUUGUUUAGGGGGCUAGGAUUAAGAGGCAAAGUUAAGUAGUAAGGAGACUAGAAGCAGGCAGUAGAGAAGGUGGAAGUUAGUAGUGACAGUAGAAAAAGAGAAGAUGAAGAAAGAGAUUUUAGAAAAUACAUGGAAACUAAAGGGGGGAAAAGGGAUUGGAUUAGAUGACAUGGGAAGAGAGGAGAACAAAAUGGAGGUUAAGAAAGAUAGCAGUUAAUGAGAAAAUAAGGGAAAGAAAAGUAAAAGUAGGGCAAGUGAGAAUCUUGAUAGAGGGCGUAUGGUGGAAGUGGAAUAAAGAAAAAGAGGAAAUGAGGGAUGGGAAAGGGAGAAAAUAUAAAGGAUAAGAAAAGAGGAAAGGGUAAGAGUAAUGAGGAGGAAGGGGGAAGAAAAGGGGAGGAAAGAAGAAGCCAAAGACAGGGGGUAUAAGUAAGGGAAAAGGAGAGGGGAGAAGCGGAGGCAGAUAAGAAGAACACGGGAGUAGUGAGAGAGUGAAGAAAGGGAAGGGAGAGAAGAGAGAGGGGAAAGAGGAAUGGAAACAGAGAGUAGGGAAACACACGAAAAGAGGGACGGGUAAGAAUAGCAUUUUGGAAUAUGGCGGGAUUGAGAAAUAAAGAUAAGUAGUUUUGAAAAAGAUUGGAGGUAAUGGUAGUAAUAGAGACAUGGAUUGAGGAGGAGUGGAGAUACAUAAAAAGGAAAUUACCGAAAGAAUAUAAAUGGAAGCUACAGUGGGCAAAAAGAAAGAAUAAGAAGGAAAGAGCAAUAGGGGGAAUGAUAUAAUAUUAAGAGGGAGUUACUAGAGAAAAAAAAUGAACGAAAGGAAGUAAAGGGGAUUAUAAAGGGAAAGAUUAAAUAUGGUAAAGGGUCAUUAAGAAUAGUUGGAGUGUAUAUGAACCAGGAUUUAGAGGAAAAACUAGAAGGACUACGGGAAGGAGAGACAGGAUGGGAUAAAAACAAUAUGUGGGGAGACUUUAAUGCGAGGACAGGGGAGGAGAGAAGGAAGGUAGAAGAAGAAGAUGGUUGGGGAGAGGAGGAGAAAGGAAGGAAGUCUAAGGAUAUAAAGAUAAAUAAGAAAGAUAGAAAAAUGG